AUUGAACGCUGGCGGCAGGCCUAACACAUGCAAGUCGAGCGGAUGAAGGGAGCUUGCUCCUGGAUUCAGCGGUGGACGGGUGAGUAAUGCCUAGGAAUCUGCCUGGUAGUGGGGGAUAACGUCCGGAAACGGGCGCUAAUACCGCAUACGUCCUGAGGGAGAAAGUGGGGGAUCUUCGGACCUCACGCUAUCAGAUGAGCCUAGGUCGGAUUAGCUAGUUGGUGGGGUAAAGGCCUACCAAGGCGACGAUCCGUAACUGGUCUGAGAGGAUGAUCAGUCACACUGGAACUGAGACACGGUCCAGACUCCUACGGGAGGCAGCAGUGGGGAAUAUUGGACAAUGGGCGAAAGCCUGAUCCAGCCAUGCCGCGUGUGUGAAGAAGGUCUUCGGAUUGUAAAGCACUUUAAGUUGGGAGGAAGGGCAGUAAGUUAAUACCUUGCUGUUCUGACGUUACCAACAGAAUAAGCACCGGCUAACUUCGUG
RNAcentral lists this ribosomal RNA (484 nucleotides) under uncultured bacterium. Its description in RNAcentral is "partial 16S ribosomal RNA". It matches the Rfam family "Bacterial small subunit ribosomal RNA", at positions 30 to 507 of the family's 1533-position model. The record is from RNAcentral.